GACGAACGCUGGCGGCGUGCUUAACACAUGCAAGUCGAACGGAAAGGCCUCUUUCGGGGGGUACUCGAGUGGCGAACGGGUGAGUAACACGUGAGUAACCUGCCCUUGACUUUGGGAUAACUUCAGGAAACUGGGGCUAAUACCGGAUAGGAGCUCCUGCUGCAUGGUGGGGGUUGGAAAGUUUCGGCGGUUGGGGAUGGACUCGCGGCUUAUCAGCUUGUUGGUGGGGUAGUGGCUUACCAAGGCUUUGAUGGGUAGCCGGCCUGAGAGGGUGACCGGCCACAUUGGGACUGAGAUACGGCCCAGACUCCUACGGGAGGCAGCAGUGGGGAAUAUUGCACAAUGGGUGGAAGCCUGAUGCAGCAACGCCGUGUGCGGGAUGGCGGCCUUCGGGUUGUAAACCGCUUUCGCUCAUGACGAAGCUUUGUGUGACGGUAGUGGGUAAAGAAGCACCGGCUAACUACGUG
Molecule: ribosomal RNA, 467 nt
Filed under: uncultured bacterium
Lineage: Bacteria
Description: partial 16S ribosomal RNA
Rfam family: Bacterial small subunit ribosomal RNA
Source: RNAcentral